CCUACGGGUGGCAGCAGUGAGGAAUAUUGGUCAAUGGGGGCAACCCUGAACCAGCCAAGUCGCGUGAAGGAUGAAGGUCUUAUGGAUUGUAAACUUCUUUUACACGGGAAUAAAGUGGGGGACGUGUCCCCCUUUGCAUGUACCGUGUGAAUAAGGAUCGGCUAACUCCGUGCCAGCAGCCGCGGUAAUACGGAGGAUCCGAGCGUUAUCCGGAUUUAUUGGGUUUAAAGGGUGCGAAGGCGGGAUGUUAAGUCGGCGGUGAAAUUUUGCAGCUCACCUGUAAAAGUGCCUUCGAUACUGGCCUCCUUGAGUGUGGAUGAAGUAGGCGGAAUUUGUGGUGUAGCGGUGAAAUGCUUAGAUAUCACGAGGAACUCCGAUUGCGCAGGCAGCUUACUAAGCCACAACUGACGCUCAUGCACGAAGGCGUGGGGAUCAAACAGGAUUAGAUACCCUAGUAGUC
This 460-nucleotide ribosomal RNA is filed under the name Salmonella enterica subsp. enterica serovar Anatum. RNAcentral's name for it is "bacterial SSU rRNA". It matches the Rfam family "Bacterial small subunit ribosomal RNA", at positions 338 to 795 of the family's 1533-position model. Lineage: Bacteria; Pseudomonadati; Pseudomonadota; Gammaproteobacteria; Enterobacterales; Enterobacteriaceae. The record is from RNAcentral.